Neoarius graeffei (lesser salmon catfish) is the source of this 881-nucleotide long non-coding RNA. RefSeq lists it as uncharacterized. Lineage: Eukaryota; Metazoa; Chordata; Actinopteri; Siluriformes; Ariidae. The record is from RefSeq and is a predicted model, not a curated record. The transcript has 3 exons.
UGAUUAGUUGGGUAAAACCUGCGCAUCCAGAUAGCAGAGGGACGUUGAAACGGCGCCGAUUCUUGGUCAGAAUGGUCGGUUUCCGUCGUAAGUCAGAAAAUCAACGUUGAAACGGCGCCGUGAAACGUCGAUUUCUCCGCCGUCUGAGAGGGUCGAUUUAUCACUGUUGAAAUCACCGUGGGUAAAGGUUGAUCUGUCGACCGUCAGAGAAGGUCGAAUAUACGAUGUUGAACCAUCGUCACUUUUGCCGGCCAGUUUUCAACAUUGGUAGGAUGAGCAACUAAUUCUGGCCCGUAGCCAGGGGGGAUCGGAGGGUUCGUUCGAUCCCCCCCCGCGACACCGCGCCCCGGACACAUACACGCCCCUCAAGAUUACUCAAGAUUUAUUCAUUUGUUCAUGUCCGAUGAAUAUACAUUGAUUUCACAUUUAAAUUUACAAUAUCAAAUCCAGACUAAUCAAAAAAGAAAAGUAGACUAAGUGAGGACGAGUUAGAAAAACGGGUUCAUUUCUCCUAUGUUUAUGUUUACACGUUUUGUUCAGACUGCUUUACACCCCAAUCCAGUGGGUGGCGGUAAUGCUUGAGCAAUUGAUGCAUUAGACCCCUUUCACUGACGUCACCCGAAACCGGAAGUAAACAAACCCUGCGCCACAUUGGAAGACCAACAAACUCGUGAUUGGGGGAAAUAAAGGCAGCGCGCGAAUACCAGCUGUGAUUGAGACACAAGCAAACCAAGGAGCUUUCUGCCGGGAGACAGAGAGAGGAUUUAGCUGCUUUAUGCAGAGCGGAUCUAAAUACUUCAAGUCUAUUUUGUUACUGGUGUCUGCGCCGCAGGAGGAAUAUAGGCCACAAUUAUAAAUAAAUCAUAAAAUGUUUCUAAGAA